RNAcentral lists this ribosomal RNA (1017 nucleotides) under uncultured organism. RNAcentral describes it as "bacterial SSU rRNA". It matches the Rfam family "Bacterial small subunit ribosomal RNA", at positions 94 to 1157 of the family's 1533-position model. The record is from RNAcentral.
AGUGGCAAACGGGGUAGUAACAAGUGGGUACGUACCCAGAAGACAGGAAUAGCCCAUCGAAAGGUGGAUUAAUACCUGAUAGUCUCGCAAGAGUAAAUGAUUUUUCGCUUCUGGAACGGCCUGCUCGGUAUCAGCUAGUUGGUGCGGUAAAUGCGCACCAAGGCAAUGACGCCUAGGGGAGGUGAGAGCCUGACCCCCACCAUUGGAACUGCGACACGGUCCAAACUCCUACGGGAGGCUGCAGUCGAGAAUCUUCCGCAAUGCACGAAAGUGUGACGGAGCGACGCCGCGUGAUGGAUGAAGUACUUCGGUAUGUAAACAUCUUUUAUACGUGAGGAAAUUAUUGACGUUAGCGUAUGAAUAAGGGGCUCCUAAUCUCGUGCCAGCAGGAGCGGUAAUACGAGAGCCUCAAGCGUUAUCCGGAAUUAUUGGGCGUAAAGGGUGCGUAGGUGGUCAUGUUAGUCAGAGGUUAAAGACCGGUGCUUAACACCGGGAAGGCCUUUGAAACGGCAUGACUUGAGAGUGAGAGAGGUAUAGGGAACUCAUAGUGUAGGGGUGAAAUCCGUUGAUAUUAUGGGGAACACCAAAGGCGAAGGCACUAUACUGGCUCAUUUCUGACACUCAUGCACGAAACCCUGGGUAGCGAAUGGGAUUAGAUACCCCAGUAGUCCAGGGCCUAAACGAUGCAGACUAGCCUUACGGAGUAUCGACCCUCUGUGAGGCGUAGCUAACGCGUUAAGUCUGCCGCCUGGGAACUACGGCCGCAAGGCUAAAACUCAAAGGAAUAGACAGGGACUCGCACAAGCGGUGGAUCAUGUGGUUUAAUUCGACGAUAAGCGAAGAACCUUACCAAGGCUAGAAAUUCAAACGACGGUUUUUCGAAAGAAAUUCCUCCUUCGGGCGUUUGAACAGGUGAUGCAUGGCCGUCGUCAGCUCGUGGUUUGAACUGUACCGUUAAGUCGGUUAACGAGCGCGACCCUCAUCGUAUGUUUUAUAUGUCAUGCGAGACUGCCCCCU